Molecule: ribosomal RNA, 597 nt
Filed under: Gymnopilus junonius
Lineage: Eukaryota; Fungi; Basidiomycota; Agaricomycetes; Agaricales; Galerinaceae
Description: LSU rRNA
Rfam family: Eukaryotic large subunit ribosomal RNA
Source: RNAcentral
UAACAGGAUUCCCCUAGUAACUGCGAGUGAAGCGGGAAAAGCUCAAAUUUAAAAGCUGGCGGUCUUUGGCCGUCCGCAUUGUAAUCUAGAGAAGUGUUACCCGCGUUGGACCGUGUACAAGUCUCCUGGAAUGGAGCGUCAUAGAGGGUGACAAUCCCGUCUUUGACCCGGGAUCCCAAGGCUUUGUGGUGCGCUCUCAAAGAGUCGAGUUGUUUGGGAAUGCAGCUCUAAAUGGGUGGUAAAUUCCAUCUAAAGCUAAAUAUUGGCGAGAGACCGAUAGCGAACAAGUACCGUGAGGGAAAGAUGAAAAGAACUUUGGAAAGAGAGUUAAACAGUACGUGAAAUUGCUGAAAGGGAAACGCUUGAAGUCAGUCGCGUCGUCCGGAGAUCAACCUUGCUUUUGCUGGGCGUACUCUCCGGUUGACGGGCCAGCAUCAGUUUUGGCCACUGGAAAAGGGCGGAGGAAAUGUGGCAUCUUCGGAUGUGUUAUAGUCUUCCGUCGUAUACAGUGGCUGGGACUGAGGAACUCAGCACGCCGCAAGGCCGGGAUUUAUCCACGUACGUGCUUAGGAUGCUGGCAUAAUGGCUUUAAUCGAC